This is an RNA transcript of Ipomoea nil (Japanese morning glory), 1795 nucleotides long. It is a transcript of the gene named 26S proteasome non-ATPase regulatory subunit 11 homolog, with no coding region annotated. NCBI's taxonomy places the organism in Eukaryota, Viridiplantae, Streptophyta, Magnoliopsida, Solanales, Convolvulaceae. The record is from RefSeq and is a predicted model, not a curated record. The transcript has 3 exons.
CCUAUAGGCUAUAGUCUCAUACCGGAAGUGAAACCCUAGCCUUCGAUCGUGUAUGACUCUCUUUUCUCUCGCUCGGAUCUCAAAUUGAACCGUAUAAGUAACUUUUCUUCCGAUCUUCGCUUCUCAAGGAACCGUCGCGGUGUUCAUACUUUGUGGUUUAGAAGCCUAAUCCAGUUCCCAAGUCGCGACUUAAAUUGAAAAGCUUUGACCAUGUCUCAUCUCCCAGCAACAACAAGUUCACUCAGUGAAGCUUCUGAGGCCAAAACUCCAUCUGAGGCUAUUGCCAUUCUUUACCGCAUCCUUAAUGACCCUGCAUCUUCUUCUGAGGCUUUAAGGAUCAAAGAGCAAGCAAUCUCUAAUCUCUCUGACCUGCUGAGACAAGAGAAUCGGGCAGAGGAACUUAAAAACCUUCUGACCCAAUUGCGGCCUUUCUUUUCUUUGAUCCCCAAGGCAAAGACAGCUAAAAUCGUUCGAGUAAUUGUUGAUGCAGUGGCAAAAAUUCCAGGUACGUCUGACCUUCAGAUUUCCCUUUGCAAAGAUAUAGUGCAGUGGACCCGUGCUGAGAAGAGAACUUUCCUUCGCCAACGAAUUGAGGCAAGACUUGCUGCUCUUUUGAUGGAAAACAAGGAGUAUUCUGAGGCGUUGACACUCCUUACUGGCCUCAUCAAGGAGGUGAGAAGAUUGGAUGACAAGCUGCUUCUUGUGGAGAUUGACUUACUAGAGAGCAAGCUUCAUUUUUCAUUGAGAAACCUUCCUAAAGCCAAGGCUGCAUUGACAGCUGCCCGAACAGCAGCCAAUGCUAUAUACGUGCCUCCAGGUCAGCAGGGCUCUAUUGAUCUGCAGAGUGGUAUCCUUCAUGCAGAAGAGAAGGAUUAUAAAACUGCUUACAGCUAUUUCUAUGAAGCAUUUGAAGCAUUCAAUGCCCUCGAAGAUCCCCAGGCCAUAUACAGCCUCAAGUACAUGUUGCUUUGCAAGAUCAUGGUGAGCCAGGCUGAUGAUGUUGCAAGCAUUAUAUCAUCACCCAAGGUGGGAUUACAAUAUCAAGGCCCCGAACUUGAUGCUAUGAAGGCUGUUGCUGAUGCUCACUCAAAACGCUCUUUGAAGCUCUUUGAGGUUGCUCUUCGAAAUUUCAAGGCCCAGCUAGAUGAGGAUCAGAUUGUCCACCGGCAUCUUUCUUCCCUCUAUGACACUUUGAUGGAGCAAAAUCUUUGCAGGUUGAUUGAGCCUUUCUCCCGGGUUGAAAUUGCUCACAUUGCUGAGUUGAUUGAGUUGCCUGCUGACCAUGUUGAAAAGAAGUUAUCUCAGAUGAUUUUGGAUAAGAAGUUUGCUGGAACUCUCGACCAAGGUGCUGGGUGCCUCGUGAUUUUUGACGAUCCAAAGACAGAUGUCAUAUAUCCUGCGACAUUGGAAACCAUUUCAAAUAUGGGGAAGGUUGUUGACAGUUUGUUUGUAAGAUCUGCCAAAAUAAUGGCUUGAGUUCUAGAUUGCAAGCUUUUUUGAGCUUGCUUGUUUACUGUCUAAAUUGACCCCAACUAGAACAGAGGUGUAUUUCAAAUUAAUGGUUGUUUUGAAGGGGUUUCCUACUUUCCUUACCCUUAGGACAAGGAUGUGGGGCAUUGAAGUCAUGAAGAUGUUCUUAGUUCAACCUUAAUCAAGUUUUAAAGUACAAUAUGUUUUGUUAAUCAUUUUUAGUCACAUUUAGUUCCUAGUUUGACUAUUGUUGAAUUCUAAAUGGUUCAAGCUCAAUAUCUCUUAAACAUCUACUAAUGCCUAACUACAUCCACUUUGCAAUGCA